Molecule: ribosomal RNA, 486 nt
Filed under: uncultured bacterium
Lineage: Bacteria
Description: partial 16S ribosomal RNA
Rfam family: Bacterial small subunit ribosomal RNA
Source: RNAcentral
AUUGAACGCUGGCGGCAUGCCUUACACAUGCAAGUCGAACGGCAGCACGGGUGCUUGCACCUGGUGGCGAGUGGCGAACGGGUGAGUAAUACAUCGGAACAUGUCCUGUAGUGGGGGAUAGCCCGGCGAAAGCCGGAUUAAUACCGCAUACGAUCUACGGAUGAAAGCGGGGGACCUUCGGGCCUCGCGCUAUAGGGUUGGCCGAUGGCUGAUUAGCUAGUUGGUGGGGUAAAGGCCUACCAAGGCGACGAUCAGUAGCUGGUCUGAGAGGACGACCAGCCACACUGGGACUGAGACACGGCCCAGACUCCUACGGGAGGCAGCAGUGGGGAAUUUUGGACAAUGGGCGAAAGCCUGAUCCAGCAAUGCCGCGUGUGUGAAGAAGGCCUUCGGGUUGUAAAGCACUUUUGUCCGGAAAGAAAUCCUUGGCCCUAAUACGGUCGGGGGAUGACGGUACCAGAAGAAUAAGCACCGGCUAACUACGUG